This 468-nucleotide ribosomal RNA is filed under the name uncultured bacterium. RNAcentral describes it as "partial 16S ribosomal RNA". It matches the Rfam family "Bacterial small subunit ribosomal RNA", at positions 28 to 507 of the family's 1533-position model. The record is from RNAcentral.
GACGAACGCUGGCGGCGUGCUUAACACAUGCAAGUCGAACGGAAAGGCCCUGCUUUUGUGGGGUGCUCGAGUGGCGAACGGGUGAGUAACACGUGAGUAACCUGCCCUUGACUUUGGGAUAACUUCAGGAAACUGGGGCUAAUACCGGAUAGGAGCUCCUGCUGCAUGGUGGGGGUUGGACAGUUUCGGCGGUUGGGGAUGGACUCGCGGCUUAUCAGCUUGUUGGUGGGGUAGUGGCUUACCAAGGCUUUGACGGGUAGCCGGCCUGAGAGGGUGACCGGCCACAUUGGGACUGAGAUACGGCCCAGACUCCUACGGGAGGCAGCAGUGGGGAAUAUUGCACAAUGGGCGGAAGCCUGAUGCAGCAACGCCGCGUGCGGGAUGACGGCCUUCGGGUUGUAAACCGCUUUCGCCUGUGACGAAGCGUGAGUGACGGUAACGGGUAAAGAAGCACCGGCUAACUACGUG